This is a long non-coding RNA of Ostrea edulis (European flat oyster), 1335 nucleotides long. RefSeq lists it as uncharacterized. NCBI's taxonomy places the organism in Eukaryota, Metazoa, Mollusca, Bivalvia, Ostreida, Ostreidae. The transcript has 5 exons. The record is from RefSeq and is a predicted model, not a curated record.
GAUAUUGGCCUGGAUAGCUCAAUGGUUAGAGCACCUGCCUAGUAAUGCAGGGGUCCCAGGUUCGAUUCCCGGUCCAGCCAAAGAUUUUCUCCUCCUUCCUAUACUACACUUGUUAGAGUUUACAAUGUUUUUGCAUACUUUGAAAAAAUAAAAUUUAAAAAAAAAAAAAUAAUUUAUUUCCUACCUUCCUACCCUAUUUUUUUCUGGAACAUUAGCGGAAACUCAACAAUUUUUAUCGUUGGCCUUAUUCAUAUUCUAUCAUGAAACGGAGAACAAAGUCGCUUGACAAAAUUCUCUUCAAAAAAUUUACUGAGCAUUUUCAACCUGCAGACAAUUUUACUUGCCUGUCUGAUUUCUGGUGAUUCCAGCACUCAAUGCUACUUUGGUUUUUCAGCUUUCUGGACCUUAAGAUGUUGACACCCUGCUGAUGGAGCAGAAGCAGAAAGCAGUUCUCUUACCAUCAGAUCUGAUCCAUUUUUGGAGAUAGCCUUUUGUAUGGAGCUGGGUAGCGGUUACUGGAGACGUGCUGUUGAUUGAUGAGGAUAAUUUUCCCGAGACUCUGACAUAUAUUGCAGGACCUGGAUAGCUCUACUGGUGUUCAAAAUGCCAGGACUGUGGAGUGUUGUGAUGUUAUUGAUGGUCAACAGAAGACUGUGACCUUGAAUCUGAAGAUCUAUGAUGAAGACUGGACGUUUGGGGUCACUCUCUGUUACAGUACUACAAAUCUAACAGUGACAGGCUCAGCCACAAAGAGGUUGUCUCUGAUGUUCACACAUAAACCUAAUGGAGUGUAUAAACCACAGUGAAUGUAACGGAGGAACUGUCCGUCCUGAUCUAGGAUGUGGAUACGGUCAUUGUGACGGUCUGCUGUCAGGAUGUGACUCUGGCUGUCUGUAGUGAUGCCGUAUGGUUUAAAUGAUUGCUCGGUAUUAGAGGGAUGACCAGUGUAUCUAAAUCGGAGUUUUCCUGACUGAUUGACCACCACUACUGCUCUAGCGUCACAGUCAGCCACACAGAUAUCCAGGUUCUUGUUCUCACUGAGGUAUUUAUUGAUAUAACCACCAGAUGAGUAGAGAGGACGACCCUGAUCAUCAAACUGAAUGCUUUGUUUCUCUGUGGAGCCGGAGUAACGCACGACUUUGGAUUGUAUGUAAUCAUCACUCUCCAUGGUAACCAGGAGAUCGUUAGCCGCGGUACAGCAGACAGAGAGAGGUUUCCACCCCUGUAGUGUGAUCACGAUUGAGUUGAGUGGAACAAUGAACCUCCGGAUAUCUAUGUACAUUUACACGCGUAGGAUUAAACUUCUGUUGUACUCGCGCAUGCGAGCUUAUCCUA